AAACCUCUCCUUGAAACUCACAAAGCAUAUUCCCUCUCGGAGGAGCCCACGUGGUGAGGGGCUCACCGCCUUUCCCAAACGGGCCACUAGUCCCCGUUUCACCUUGCUGAGCCCUGGGUCCAGGACCCUGGACCAGAAAAUCACUUUUGAAGUCGUUUCUCAGGGUGGUCAACUCUCCCUAGCUCGCCAGCCUCCUUCCUGAACAAAUGGAGAGAGCUUCCUGGUGGCUCAGUAGAAAAGAAUCUGCCUGCAAUGCAGAAGCAGCCGCAGGAGACAGGGGUUCGAUCCCUGGGUGGGAAAGAUCCCCUGGAGGAGGAAAUGGCAGCCUACUCCAGUGUUCUUGCCUGGAGAG
Long non-coding RNA from Bos taurus (domestic cattle), 352 nucleotides. The record is from Ensembl. Lineage: Eukaryota; Metazoa; Chordata; Mammalia; Artiodactyla; Bovidae.